GACGAACGCUGGCGGCGUGCUUAACACAUGCAAGUCGAACGGAAAGGCCCUGCUUGCCGGGUGCUCGAGUGGCGAACGGGUGAGUAACACGUGGGUGAUCUGCCCCUUAUUUUGGGAUAAGCCUGGGAAACUGGGUCUAAUACUGGAUAGGACCAUGCUGUAGGUGGUGUGGUGGAAAGAUUAGUUUCGGUAAGGGAUGAGCUCGCGGCCUAUCAGCUUGUUGGUGGGGUAAUGGCCUACCAAGGCGUCGACGGGUAGCCGGCCUGAGAGGGUGGACGGCCACAUUGGGACUGAGAUACGGCCCAGACUCCUACGGGAGGCAGCAGUGGGGAAUAUUGCACAAUGGGCGCAAGCCUGAUGCAGCGACGCCGCGUGGGGGAUGACGGCCUUCGGGUUGUAAACUCCUUUCAGUCAUGACGAAGCCCUUGUGGUGACGGUAGUGGUAGAAGAAGCACCGGCUAACUACGUG
RNAcentral lists this ribosomal RNA (469 nucleotides) under uncultured bacterium. RNAcentral describes it as "partial 16S ribosomal RNA". It matches the Rfam family "Bacterial small subunit ribosomal RNA", at positions 28 to 507 of the family's 1533-position model. The record is from RNAcentral.